UAGGGGAAAAAUUAAUAAAGAAUAAUUAUGAAAAAAAUUUUUAAAAAAAUAUUUAGGGGGGUUUAAGUAUUUAUAUAGAAAAAAUUUUUUAAUUUAUAAAGAAAUAGUAUUGUAAAAGAAAUUUGAAAAAUAAUGAAAUAAAAAUUUAUAAAAAAGUAAAUUUAAAUUAUUGUAUCUUGUGUAUCAGAGUUUAUUAAAAAAAUAAUUUGGGAAAAUUAAUUUCGAAUUUAAAAGAGAUAAUUAAUUAAAAAAGUUAAUGUAACAUAAUUAUUUUAAAUAAUUAAUUGGAAAUGAAAAGUUAAUCGUUUUUAAAGAUAUCUAGUUUUUUCAGAAAAAAAUUAAAUUUUAAAUUAAAUUUUUAUAUUAAUUUAAUAAUUAAUUAAUAUAAAAUUUAAUUAAAUAUUUUAGGGGAUAAGCUUUAAAUUAAAAAUUUAUAAUAAAAAUAAAAAUAAUUGAAAUUUUUAAAAUUUAUAUUUUUUAUAAAUUAUAAUUUAUUAUAAAUAAUUUCAGUUAAUUAAAAUUUUAUAUAAUAUUUAAUUUUUUAUGAAAAAAUAAUUUUUAAUAAAAAAAAAAUUAGAAUUAAUGAUAAAAUUAGUAUAUAAAUUAAAAUUAUAUAAUAAGUUAUUAUAAUUAAUAAAAAGGAAUUCGGCAAAAAU
Molecule: ribosomal RNA, 656 nt
Filed under: Appias drusilla
Lineage: Eukaryota; Metazoa; Arthropoda; Insecta; Lepidoptera; Pieridae
Description: partial 16S ribosomal RNA
Source: RNAcentral